GACGAACGCUGGCGGCGUGCCUAACACAUGCAAGUCGAACGGAAAGGCCCUGCUCUUGUGUGUUGCUUGUGUGGCGAGCGGGUGAGUAUCACGUGAGUAUCCUGUCCUUGACUUUGUGAUAACUCCUCGAAACUGGGGCGAAUAUCGCAGAGGAUCUCCUGCUGCGUGGUGGUGGUUGGAAAGUUUCGGCGGUUGGGGCUGGACUGGCGGCUUAUCAGCUGGUUGGGCGGGUAGUGGCGUACCAAGGGUUUGACGGGUAGCCUGCCUGAGAGGGGUACCGGCCACAUUGGGACUGAGGGACGGACCAGAAGCCUACGGGAGGCAGCAGUGGAGAGCCUUGCACAAUGGGGGGACGCCAGUUGCAGCAACGCUGGGUGCGGAAUGACGGCCUUCGGGUUGUAAACAGAUUUCGCCUGUGCCGAAGCGUGAGUGACGGUAAUGGGUAAAGAAGCACCGGCUAACUACGUG
This 468-nucleotide ribosomal RNA is filed under the name uncultured bacterium. RNAcentral describes it as "partial 16S ribosomal RNA". It matches the Rfam family "Bacterial small subunit ribosomal RNA", at positions 28 to 507 of the family's 1533-position model. The record is from RNAcentral.